RNAcentral lists this ribosomal RNA (480 nucleotides) under uncultured bacterium. RNAcentral's name for it is "bacterial SSU rRNA". It matches the Rfam family "Bacterial small subunit ribosomal RNA", at positions 30 to 506 of the family's 1533-position model. The record is from RNAcentral.
UUGAACGCUGGCGGCAUGCUUUACACAUGCAAGUCGAACGGUAACAGGUCUUCGGAUGCUGACGAGUGGCGAACGGGUGAGUAAUGCAUCGGAACGUGCCCAGUCGUGGGGGAUAACGCAGCGAAAGCUGUGCUAAUACCGCAUACGAUCUAUGGAUGAAAGCGGGGGAUCGCAAGACCUCGCGCGAUUGGAGCGGCCGAUGUCAGAUUAGCUAGUUGGUGGGGUAAAGGCCCACCAAGGCGACGAUCUGUAGCUGGUCUGAGAGGACGACCAGCCACACUGGGACUGAGACACGGCCCAGACUCCUACGGGAGGCAGCAGUGGGGAAUUUUGGACAAUGGGCGCAAGCCUGAUCCAGCGAUGCCGCGUGCAGGAAGAAGGCCUUCGGGUUGUAAACUGCUUUUGUCAGGGAAGAAACGCUCUGGGCUAAUACCCCGGGGUAAUGACGGUACCUGAAGAAUAAGCACCGGCUAACUACGU